RNAcentral lists this ribosomal RNA (253 nucleotides) under uncultured bacterium. RNAcentral's name for it is "partial 16S ribosomal RNA". It matches the Rfam family "Bacterial small subunit ribosomal RNA", at positions 524 to 776 of the family's 1533-position model. The record is from RNAcentral.
UACAGAGGUCCCGAGCGUUGUUCGGAUUCAUUGGGCGUAAAGGGUGCGUAGGCGGCGGGGCAAGUCUGAUGUGAAAUCCCGGGGCUCAACCCCGGAACUGCAUUGGAUACUGCCUUGCUAGAGUACUGGAGAGGGAACUGGAAUUUACGGUGUAGCAGUGAAAUGCGUAGAGAUCGUAAGGAAGGCCAGUGGCGAAGGCGGGUCUCUGGACAGUUCCUGACGCUGAGGCACGAAGGCCAGGGGAGCAAACGGG